RNAcentral lists this ribosomal RNA (408 nucleotides) under uncultured bacterium. Its description in RNAcentral is "bacterial SSU rRNA". It matches the Rfam family "Bacterial small subunit ribosomal RNA", at positions 355 to 777 of the family's 1533-position model. The record is from RNAcentral.
UGGGGAAUAUUGGGCAAUGGGCGAAAGCCUGACCCAGCAACGCCGCGUGAGGGAAGAAGGUUUUCGGAUUGUAAACCUCUGUUCUUAGUGACGAAGGAAGUGACGGUAGCUAAGAAGGAAGCCCCGGCUAACUACGUGCCAGCAGCCGCGGUAAUACGUAGGGGGCGAGCGUUGUCCGGAAUUACUGGGCGUAAAGGGUGAGUAGGCGGUUUAUUAAGUUGGAUGUGAAAUACCCGGGCUUAACUUGGGGGGUGCAUUCAAAACUGGUAGACUAGAGUAUCGGAGAGGGAAGCGGAAUUCCUGGUGUAGCGGUGAAAUGCGUAGAUAUCAGGAGGAACACCGGUGGCGAAGGCGGCUUUCUGGACGACAACUGACGCUGAGGCACGAAAGCGUGGGGAGCAAACAGGA